GGGGUUGUGGCUCAGUGGUAGAGUGUUUGCCUUAUAUGCACAAGGCCCUGGGUUUGAUCCCCAGCACCA
RNAcentral lists this transfer RNA (69 nucleotides) under Ictidomys tridecemlineatus (thirteen-lined ground squirrel). RNAcentral describes it as "Spermophilus tridecemlineatus (thirteen-lined ground squirrel) tRNA". It matches the Rfam family "tRNA". Rfam says of the family: Transfer RNA (tRNA) molecules are approximately 80 nucleotides in length. Their secondary structure includes four short double-helical elements and three loops (D, anti-codon, and T loops). The record is from Rfam by way of RNAcentral. Lineage: Eukaryota; Metazoa; Chordata; Mammalia; Rodentia; Sciuridae.